GAUUCUGGCUCAGGAUGAACGCUAGCUACAGGCUUAACACAUGCAAGUCGAGGGGCAGCAUGGUCUUAGCUUGCUAAGGCCGAUGGCGACCGGCGCACGGGUGAGUAACGCGUAUCCAACCUACCUUACACUCCUGGACAGCCUUCUGAAAGGGAGAUUAAUACAAGAUGUUAUCAUGGGUAAGCAUUUUCGCAUGAUUAAAGGUUUACCGGUGUAAGAUGGGGAUGCGUUCCAUUAG
This 238-nucleotide ribosomal RNA is filed under the name uncultured bacterium. RNAcentral's name for it is "partial 16S ribosomal RNA". It matches the Rfam family "Bacterial small subunit ribosomal RNA", at positions 15 to 244 of the family's 1533-position model. The record is from RNAcentral.